Molecule: ribosomal RNA, 291 nt
Filed under: Sarcocystis sp. ex Vulpes lagopus
Lineage: Eukaryota; Apicomplexa; Conoidasida; Eucoccidiorida; Sarcocystidae
Description: partial 18S ribosomal RNA
Rfam family: Eukaryotic small subunit ribosomal RNA
Source: RNAcentral
AAAUUUUAUUUCUAGUGAUUGGAAUGAUGGGAAUUUAAACCCCUUUCAGAGUAACAAUUGGAGGGCAAGUCUGGUGCCAGCAGCCGCGGUAAUUCCAGCUCCAAUAGCGUAUAUUAAAGUUGUUGCAGUUAAAAAGCUCGUAGUUGGAUGUCUGCUGGAAGCAAUCAGUCCGCCCUAUUUGUAGGGUGUGCACUUGAUGAAUUCUGGCAUCUAUGUCCCAAUAAUAUAACGGAAGCUAUUGGACGAAAGUUCAAUAGUAUAUUUCCGAUUAUUGGGAUACUGUUACUUUGA